RNAcentral lists this ribosomal RNA (492 nucleotides) under uncultured bacterium. RNAcentral describes it as "partial 16S ribosomal RNA". It matches the Rfam family "Bacterial small subunit ribosomal RNA", at positions 29 to 507 of the family's 1533-position model. The record is from RNAcentral.
AGUGAACGCUGGCGGUAGGCCUAACACAUGCGAGUCGAACGGCAGCACAGUAAGAGCUUGCUCUUACGGGUGGCGAGUGGCGGACGGGUGAGGAAUACAUCGGAAUCUACUUUUUCGUGGGGGAUAACGUAGGGAAACUUACGCUAAUACCGCAUACGACCUACGGGUGAAAGCAGGGGAUCUUCGGACCUUGCGCGAUUGAAUGAGCCGAUGUCGGAUUAGCUAGUUGGCGGGGUAAAGGCCCACCAAGGCGACGAUCCGUAGCUGGUCUGAGAGGAUGAUCAGCCACACUGGAACUGAGACACGGUCCAGACUCCUACGGGAGGCAGCAGUGGGGAAUAUUGGACAAUGGGCGCAAGCCUGAUCCAGCCAUACCGCGUGGGUGAAGGAGGCCUUCGGGUUGUAAAGCCCUUUUGUUGGGAAAGAAAAGCAGCAGGUUAAUACCCCGCUGUUCUGACGGUACCCAAAGAAUAAGCACCGGCUAACUUCGUG